This is a long non-coding RNA of Oreochromis aureus, 672 nucleotides long. Lineage: Eukaryota; Metazoa; Chordata; Actinopteri; Cichliformes; Cichlidae. The record is from Ensembl.
GAACAGCUGAUCGGAUCGGCAAAGCGUGUUUCUGGAGUAUUAUGUUUUUGUUGCUGCAAGCGCUUUUUAUGCAGUUUUUGCAAAGCUAUAUGUGGAAGAAAACCGUGACCUAGGACAAGCUGAUGGCAUAAGAUGCCUUCUAGAUUCCCUGCCAUCUGGAGUUCUGUGGAUGUGUGUGAGUGAGCGUGAGUAUUUUGGAGUGGACAUUCAGAGUGAGUUGUGGAUUAAGUUGAAGAGGAGCGUGUGUACCCCCCGCCUUGGACCUUCCCUUCGGACCCCCCUCCACUCCCUGGAACUCUGUGUUAUCGGUCUCACUGUAUAUAUGUAUAUAUUCUCACUUGGUGCCACAUCGUAAAUGAACCUUCACCUUCUCUCUAAACUUCAGAGUCCUGCGAGUGAGUCCUCUGCCUAAUAAUCUGUGACACAAAAUGUGUGAUAUGUUCUCAUUUCCAAGCAUGAGUUCUUAAUAGAAUCUAAUUUACAGUAUCUCCAGAUCUGAAUAAAUUCUAAUAUUUCUAAAAUCCACAGGUUUUAAGAUUAGGCCUAAAAUUCACCCCAUGUUUUUCCUUUACUAAGAGAGAGCAAAUCUGAUUUUCAUCAACAUGAUCAAAUAUUGUAGAUUAGAAUAUUAGUUCACCUAUUCUUACAGAGGAGAAGAAAAUUAGAAUUUAG